Molecule: ribosomal RNA, 326 nt
Filed under: Pseudomonas aeruginosa
Lineage: Bacteria; Pseudomonadati; Pseudomonadota; Gammaproteobacteria; Pseudomonadales; Pseudomonadaceae
Also listed under: 2 other names
Description: bacterial SSU rRNA
Rfam family: Bacterial small subunit ribosomal RNA
Source: RNAcentral
CCAGGGCUACACACGUGCUACAAUGGCAUAUACAAAGAGAAGCGACCUCGCGAGAGCAAGCGGACCUCAUAAAGUAUGUCGUAGUCCGGAUUGGAGUCUGCAACUCGACUCCAUGAAGUCGGAAUCGCUAGUAAUCGUAGAUCAGAAUGCUACGGUGAAUACGUUCCCGGGCCUUGUACACACCGCCCGUCACACCAUGGGAGUGGGUUGCAAAAGAAGUAGGUAGCUUAACCUUCGGGAGGGCGCUUACCACUUUGUGAUUCAUGACUGGGGUGAAGUCGUAACAAGGUAACCGUAGGGGAACCUGCGGUUGGAUCACCUCCUUA